Molecule: long non-coding RNA, 454 nt
Filed under: Salmo salar (Atlantic salmon)
Lineage: Eukaryota; Metazoa; Chordata; Actinopteri; Salmoniformes; Salmonidae
Description: lncRNA (ENSSSAG00000088385.1)
Source: RNAcentral
GUGGUGUAACUGGUUAUUUUGGAGGUGGUGUAACUGGUUAUUUUGGAGGUGGUGUAACUGGUUAUUUUGGCGGUGGUGGAACUGGUUAUUUUGGCGGUGGUGUAACUGGUUAUUUUGGAGGUGGUGGAACUGGUUAUUUUGGCGGUGGUGGAACUGGUUAUUUUGGCGGUGGUGUAACUGGUUAUUUUGGCGGUGGUGUAACUGGUUAUUUUGGAGGUGGUGGAACUGGUUAUUUUGGAGGUGGUGGAACUGGUUAUUUUGGCGGUGGUGUAACUGGUUAUUUUGGCGGUGGUGGAACUAGUUAUUUUGGAGGUGGUUGAACUGGUUAUUUUGGAGGUGGUGGACCUGUUUUUUUUGGAGGUGGAGGAACUGGUUAUUUUGGAUUUGGUGGAACUGGUUAUUUUGAAGGUGGUGGGGCUGGUUAUUUUGGAGGUGGUGGAGCUGGUUAUUUUGG